Long non-coding RNA from Parasteatoda tepidariorum (common house spider), 458 nucleotides. The record is from RefSeq and is a predicted model, not a curated record. NCBI's taxonomy places the organism in Eukaryota, Metazoa, Arthropoda, Arachnida, Araneae, Theridiidae.
AAAAGAUCCUUUUGAUCCGUUUGGUUUGUCUCAAGCAAAUUCUAAUCAAGCUCCUUCUAUGAGUUUUCAAUGGAUGAGUUGAGUACUGCAAGCUGUUGAUAGCAUUCAUCAAGUUGGAAUUUACUGUCUUGCUUUAGUUUUGUCCAAUUGCUUGCCAAAAGAAGCUGGCAAUGUUGUUGAUAUAAAGUCAUGGCCUCUCUUCUUAGAUACUGAUGACAUUCCAAAAAAGAAAUUAACUAGCAUAUAUAGAGCCCCAACUCCUGAAAUGAUAACUUAUUCGGAUUUAAGUGUUAGCGCAACUGGAAUGCUAGCUGGUAUUAAGAUGUCCCAUGCAGUAUCAACCUCUUUCUGUACAAGUAUGAAACUUGCUUGUGAAUUAUAUCCAUCAAGACAUAUAGCUUUUGGCCUUGAUCCUUACUGUUGUUUAGGUUUUGCCUUAUGGUGUUUGAAUAGGUAAC